Molecule: unclassified non-coding RNA, 269 nt
Filed under: Hevea brasiliensis (rubber tree)
Lineage: Eukaryota; Viridiplantae; Streptophyta; Magnoliopsida; Malpighiales; Euphorbiaceae
Source: RNAcentral
GACGGGUAUGCGUAUUUACUUGAUCGGUUUCGUGAAAAUUGUGAUAUAAUCAUUUAUCCGCAUGAAAUGUGUUAGGAUUCUCAUACGUGAAGAUGAAUUCCCGACAACUAAACUGUUUGCAGUUCAAAUUUGGUAAUGGGUGCCGUAAUUGGUUUUGUUCUUGUAAAGUUAUGGUUGUAAUGUAUUUGAUUUUGGCGGAAAUGAGAGAAUGGUUAGUUUCUUUACUUGGUAAUGGUCUUUGUCGAAUAAGUACUGACUUUGUAAUGCUG